This is a long non-coding RNA of Phascolarctos cinereus (koala), 334 nucleotides long. RefSeq lists it as uncharacterized. The record is from RefSeq and is a predicted model, not a curated record. NCBI's taxonomy places the organism in Eukaryota, Metazoa, Chordata, Mammalia, Diprotodontia, Phascolarctidae.
GCGUCCCACUUCCGCCUCCUGCGCCUCCGCUGCCGUUUCCACGCUGGCAGCUCUGACGUCCCAGCCAAUCCGCCAUGGGGGGAAUGGAACGUGUCACUUUUCCUCGAAGGGGGUGGCAGAGCAUCAGUCGUACACCUGCACAUGCGUGGGAUUAACAUCGUCUUGCACGGCCUGUGAUUGGGGAAGCGAGUGAAGCUGGGAAGAUGUGCAGAUUUGAAAUUAGGCCGAGAGCUGUCCAGCUUUUCGCAGCACUCACCCCAUAGGCCCUUCCACCAUUGCUUCGAGUCAGGAGCCCUCAAAAACCGUGUUAGAUUAAAAACGAAAAGAAAUUCAA